GACGAACGCUGGCGGCGUGCCUAAUACAUGCAAGUCGAGCGAGCAGAACCAGCAGAUUUACUUCGGUAAUGACGCUGGGGACGCGAGCGGCGGAUGGGUGAGUAACACGUGGGGAACCUGCCCCAUAGUCUGGGAUACCACUUGGAAACAGGUGCUAAUACCGGAUAAGAAAGCAGAUCGCAUGAUCAGCUUAUAAAAGGCGGCGUAAGCUGUCGCUAUGGGAUGGCCCCGCGGUGCAUUAGCUAGUUGGUAAGGUAACGGCUUACCAAGGCGAUGAUGCAUAGCCGAGUUGAGAGACUGAUCGGCCACAUUGGGACUGAGACACGGCCCAAACUCCUACGGGAGGCAGCAGUAGGGAAUCUUCCACAAUGGACGAAAGUCUGAUGGAGCAACGCCGCGUGAGUGAAGAAGGUUUUCGGAUCGUAAAGCUCUGUUGUUGGUGAAGAAGGAUAGAGGUAGUAACUGGCCUUUAUUUGACGGUAAUCAACCAGAAAGUCACGGCUAACUACGUGCCAGCAGCCGCGGUAAUACGUAGGUGGCAAGCGUUGUCCGGAUUUAUUGGGCGUAAAGCGAGCGCAGGCGGAAGAAUAAGUCUGAUGUGAAAGCCCUCGGCUUAACCGAGGAACUGCAUCGGAAACUGUUUUUCUUGAGUGCAGAAGAGGAGAGUGGAACUCCAUGUGUAGCGGUGGAAUGCGUAGAUAUAUGGAAGAACACCAGUGGCGAAGGCGGCUCUCUGGUCUGCAACUGACGCUGAGGCUCGAAAGCAUGGGUAGCGAACAGGAUUAGAUACCCUGGUAGUCCAUGCCGUAAACGAUGAGUGCUAAGUGUUGGGAGGUUUCCGCCUCUCAGUGCUGCAGCUAACGCAUUAAGCACUCCGCCUGGGGAGUACGACCGCAAGGUUGAAACUCAAAGGAAUUGACGGGGGCCCGCACAAGCGGUGGAGCAUGUGGUUUAAUUCGAAGCAACGCGAGGAACCUUACCAGGUCUUGACAUCUAGUGCCAUCCUAAGAGAUUAGGAGUUCCCUUCGGGGACGCUAAGACAGGUGGUGCAUGGCUGUCGUCAGCUCGUGUCGUGAGAUGUUGGGUUAAGUCCCGCAACGAGCGCAACCCUUGUUAUUAGUUGCCAGCAUUAAGUUGGGCACUCUAAUGAGACUGCCGGUGACAAACCGGAGGAAGGUGGGGAUGACGUCAAGUCAUCAUGCCCCUUAUGACCUGGGCUACACACGUGCUACAAUGGGCAGUACAACGAGAAGCGAGCCUGCGAAGGCAAGCGAAUCUCUGAAAGCUGUUCUCAGUUCGGACUGCAGUCUGCAACUCGACUGCACGAAGCUGGAAUCGCUAGUAAUCGCGGAUCAGCACGCCGCGGUGAAUACGUUCCCGGGCCU
This 1385-nucleotide ribosomal RNA is filed under the name uncultured bacterium. RNAcentral's name for it is "bacterial SSU rRNA". It matches the Rfam family "Bacterial small subunit ribosomal RNA", at positions 28 to 1381 of the family's 1533-position model. The record is from RNAcentral.